AAGACUAUACUUUCAGGGAUCAUUUCUAUAGUUCGUUACUAGAGAAGUUUCUCUGAUCGUGUAGAGCACCCGAAACCACGAGGAGGAGACGCAGCGUUCUCUCCUGAGCGUGAAGCCGGCUUUUGGUGUUGCAUUCUGCAGCUGCUAUUAGCCAUUGAUGAUCGUUCUUCUUUUCCUUUUUGGAGAUGAAGAGGGAGAGGACGUAGUCUGAGUGAAA
Molecule: small nucleolar RNA, 217 nt
Organism: Cervus hanglu yarkandensis (Yarkand deer)
Lineage: Eukaryota; Metazoa; Chordata; Mammalia; Artiodactyla; Cervidae
Source: Ensembl